UACGGAGGGUGCAAGCAUUAAUCGGAUUUAUUGGGCGUAACGGGCGCGUAGGCGGAUUUGCAAGUCAGAUGUGAAAUUCCGAAGCUCAACUUCGGAGCUGCAUUUGAAACUGUGAGUCUAGAGGGAUGGCGGAGAAAAUGGAAUUCCACGUGUAGCGGUGAAAUGCGUAGAUAUGUGGAGGAACACCUGUGGCGAAAGCGGUUUUCUAGCUAUUACCUGACGCUGAGGCGCGAGAGCAAGGGGAUCAAACAGG
RNAcentral lists this ribosomal RNA (253 nucleotides) under uncultured bacterium. Its description in RNAcentral is "partial 16S ribosomal RNA". It matches the Rfam family "Bacterial small subunit ribosomal RNA", at positions 524 to 776 of the family's 1533-position model. The record is from RNAcentral.